UGAUUCAUGACUGGGGUGAAGUCGUAACAAGGUAACCGUAGGAGAACCUGCGGUUGGAUCACCUCCUUA
RNAcentral lists this ribosomal RNA (69 nucleotides) under Cronobacter sakazakii. RNAcentral describes it as "partial 16S ribosomal RNA". It matches the Rfam family "Bacterial small subunit ribosomal RNA", at positions 1465 to 1533 of the family's 1533-position model. Lineage: Bacteria; Pseudomonadati; Pseudomonadota; Gammaproteobacteria; Enterobacterales; Enterobacteriaceae. The record is from RNAcentral.